Long non-coding RNA from Bolinopsis microptera, 2256 nucleotides. RefSeq lists it as uncharacterized. The record is from RefSeq and is a predicted model, not a curated record. The transcript has 3 exons. NCBI's taxonomy places the organism in Eukaryota, Metazoa, Ctenophora, Tentaculata, Lobata, Bolinopsidae.
UUUACUUAAUUUUGUCACCCCGAACCUAAUUUUGUCACUUGAAGAUUGUGCAAAAAGUAACCGUUUCUCGGUAUUUUAGACUACCUGGAUGCAUCAUUCGAGCGCUUUUUUUACCAACAUUGACCUCAAAAAUCCCAAAGAUAUGAUGUUUUCAUAGUUUUGUAGCUUGAUGAAAAGAUGACACUUUUUGGGUAUCUAAUCUUAGAAAAUAGCCCCCAAAUGCCCCUGAAACCACUGGCAUCUUGAAAACUUUCUAUGAAGCAUGAAUCAAUAUUGGUUACUGAUUCACGAAACUAUAUUUACCAAUAGCUCUUUAAAACCCAGAAUUACAGUAUAUUUCUCGGCGAAAAUAUGCUAUUAUAAGUGUUUAAAUGCUAUUAUAAGUGCCUUAUACAUAUCCUAUGGGCAAAAAAACUUCAGAAUAGUUGUAUAAGGCCAUUUUCAACACAAUCUGUGAUUUACAAGAAAUUUGAGAAAGGUCGAUUUUUUUGACAAAAUUAGGUACUUUUGGCAAAAUCGAACCUAAUUUUGUCACCCUCUGUAACUCUAACAAUAAUUGCGCUAGAGACUUGAAAAUUUGUACGUAUACUUCUGCUGUAGAAGAUAUUUGAAAUAUGCAAUGGCAUGAAGCUAGCUCAAUUACUUUUGAAAUAGCAAUAAAUCAAAAUUUUGAAAAUUCCUUAAGAAAACUUUAAGGAUCUUAUUUAUUUUUCGGGUUAACAGUUUCGCCUUCAUUUUUGACACAGAUGCAAAAGAGCUAGAAACUUAAACUUUGUAGGAGCAGUUUCAGCAAAGUCUAAGCUUUCUUUUUAUACACAAACCUUUUCUUUCAAGCUGAAAUUCCGAGCCGAGGCAGUUUUUCAGAGCAAAAUGACAAAAUUAGGUACCCUGACAAAAUUACGUGCCUUACCCUAUUUCAAAAUCAUCUCUUAGUUAGUAUUAGUAUUAAGUGACAUGAAAAAUUUGUCCUGUGAAACUGUCAACUCUAUUUUUUCACGUAUUUAACUUCAGACUACGAGGUUGAAGAAGGCAUGAUUUUCACGCUACACUGUAAUUCCCACGCCUUCCUGGACAUCACUUCUGUUAGAUAUUACUACCCAAACCUUUCAUUAUUAUGCUAUGACCCCAGAGCUUACUCUGUUACUGUCAGCCAUUGCAACAACAGAUUUCACUGUACAAUCGACACAACUCCUGGUUCAUUUUACCAAAAUUCCUGCGAUUACUCUUGGUAUUCGAAUAUGCUAGAGGUAGUAUUUUUAUUAAAUUAUACAUUAGGGUAACACUAACAGUAAGAUAACUUAAACUACGCACCGCAGUAGUUUUGUGGAAUUUUUCAUGUAUAUGAGAUUUUCGGAAGCUUUAUUUAGCUAUUUAGAGUACCAAAAAGUCCAAAUAUUACCGAUUUAAUCGAACAUCGUCCAUCAGUACAACUUUUUAACUCCUCAGGUGCACUAUGAUUGCAGCACCUGUGAAGAAGGUCACUACUUUUCACCUGGGUUAGGAUGCAGGGUGUGUGAAGAGAGCACUUUCAGUCCCGGUGGGGUUCACUCCAACUGUGCACCCUGUCCUACUGGGAAAACUGUUCAGUCUGGUCUGGGAUCUUCCUUGGGUGACUGCACAUGGAGUCCUUGCAGUGGUGGUGAAUAUCUUGACCAACAUACUGGGUGCCAGAACUGUGGGGAGUCGACUUACAGUUCCGGAGGAACAGCGACCUCCUGUGUGGGGUGUCCUGAGGGUACGUAUGUAGCAGCAGGACAAGGAAGCUUGGAGACAGACUGCUUUGAUAACAGCGACAGCAGGAAAGAAGGAAGAGACAGACUUUUGCCGCGUACGUUAAAUUUUCUAAUUUUACGAAUGAAAAGGAUUCCCAGAAAUUUUAAAUGCAAAGCAGUCUCGAGGCUGGCUGCUUUGUCUUCAUAAUUUCUGUCAUAACAUAAUAUCAGUAUCAAAAAGUUUGACGAAGGACAAAAACCAAGGUUAAUUGCUUUUUUGGUGAUUUUACGCGGUAUAUUUAAAUUUUUAUUCAUUUUUGAUACGGUAAUAAUUUAUUAAUACUGUUGAUCGCUGUAUUACCGCCAGUACGACAUAACUUAAUGAAAUUUAAAGCUAUCCAUUGAUUUUAAAUAUGAUUUGGGCCAAGAUUUUUCUAUUCUUACCCCAAAUAAGUCACUAAAAAAACAAGUUGAAUAUUUACAAUUCUAUUUAUUUAAGCAAUAACAAAUUAAAAAGCGGACAUAUUUAUUUUUAUUUAUAACA